GAUGAACGCUAGCGACAGGCCUAACACAUGCAAGUCGAGGGGCAGCACGAGGUAGCAAUACUAGGGGUGGCGACCGGCGGACGGGUGAGUAACACGUAUGCAACCUGCCCGUAAUCGGGGGAUAACCCGGAGAAAUUCGGACUAACACUCCAUGUAUCUGUAUUAUUGCAUGAUAAAACAGAUAAACGCAAGGAUUACGGAUGGGCAUGCGGAUGAUUAGCUGGUUGGCGGGGUAACGGCCCACCAAGGCGACGAUCAUUAGGGGUUCUGAGAGGAAGGUCCCCCACAUUGGAACUGAGAAACGGUCCAAACUCCUACGGGAGGCAGCAGUGAGGAAUAUUGGUCAAUGGGCGAGAGCCUGAACCAGCCAAGUCGCGUGAAGGAAGAAGGUCUUAUGGAUUGUAAACUUCUUUAGCAGGGGAAUAAAGGUUAUUACGAGCUAAUAAUUUGCAGGUACUCUGCGAAAAAGGAUCGGCUAACUCCGUG
Molecule: ribosomal RNA, 486 nt
Filed under: uncultured bacterium
Lineage: Bacteria
Description: bacterial SSU rRNA
Rfam family: Bacterial small subunit ribosomal RNA
Source: RNAcentral